This 397-nucleotide ribosomal RNA is filed under the name uncultured Bicosoecida. RNAcentral's name for it is "partial small subunit ribosomal RNA". It matches the Rfam family "Eukaryotic small subunit ribosomal RNA", at positions 30 to 432 of the family's 1831-position model. Lineage: Eukaryota; Bigyra; Bicosoecida. The record is from RNAcentral.
GCUUGUCUCAAAGAUUAAGCCAUGCAUGUCUAAGUAUAAGCACCCUUAUACUGCGAAACUGCGUACAGCUCAUUAUAUCAGCAAUUAUUUAUUUGAAGGUCACCUAUUACAUGGAUAACCGUGGUAAUUCUAGAGCUAAUACAUGCGUAAAGUCCUGACUGCGCGAGCGGAAAGGAUGUGUUUAUUAGAUACAACCAACCCUUCGGGUUUUUGGUGAAUCAUAAUAACCGAACGAACCGUAUGCGCAAGCGACGGUGGUUCAUUCAAGUUUCUGCCCUAUCAGCUUUCGAUGGUAGGGUAUUGGCCUACCAUGGCGUUAACGGGUAACGGAGAAUUAGGGUUCGAUUCCGGAGAGGGAGCCUGAGAGAUGGCUACCACAUCCAAGGAAGGCAGCAGG